AGUAGUUUGACUCCUGGCUACAGGACGAACGCUGGCGGCGUGCUUAACACAUGCAAGUCGAACGGAAAGGCCCUAGCUUGCUGGGGUACUCGAGUGGCGAACGGGUGAGUAACACGUGGGUGAUCUGCCUUGCACUCUGGGAUAAGCUUGGGAAACUGGGUCUAAUACCGGAUAGGAACCGUCUUUAGUGUGGUGGUUGGAAAGUUUUUCGGUGCAAGAUGAGCUUGCGGCCUAUCAGCUUGUUGGUGGGGUAAUGGCCUACCAAGGCGUCGACGGGUAGCCGGCCUGAGAGGGUGUACGGCCACAUUGGGACUGAGAUACGGCCCAGACUCCUACGGGAGGCAGCAGUGGGGAAUAUUGCACAAUGGGCGGAAGCCUGAUGCAGCGACGCCGCGUGGGGGAUGACGGCCUUCGGGUUGUAAACCCCUUUCGACAGGGACGAAGCUUUUUGUGACGGUACCUGUAUAAGAAGCACCGGCUAACUACGUG
RNAcentral lists this ribosomal RNA (489 nucleotides) under uncultured Corynebacterium sp. RNAcentral describes it as "bacterial SSU rRNA". It matches the Rfam family "Bacterial small subunit ribosomal RNA", at positions 1 to 507 of the family's 1533-position model. The record is from RNAcentral. Lineage: Bacteria; Bacillati; Actinomycetota; Actinomycetes; Mycobacteriales; Corynebacteriaceae.